Long non-coding RNA from Oncorhynchus tshawytscha (Chinook salmon), 509 nucleotides. Lineage: Eukaryota; Metazoa; Chordata; Actinopteri; Salmoniformes; Salmonidae. The record is from Ensembl.
GUCUGUCUGUCUGUCUGUCCUGUCCGUCCAUCUCUCCUCUAGAGAACCAGGUCUGUCUGUCUGUCUGUCCGUCUCUCCUCUAGAGAACCAGGUCUGUCUGUCCGUCUCUCCUCUAGAGAACCAGGUCUGUCUGUCUGUCUCUCCUCUAGAGAACCAGGUCUGUCUGUCUGUCUGUCCGUCUCUCCUCUAGAGAGCCAGGUCUGUCUGUCCGUCUCUCCUCUAGAGAACCAGGUCUGUCUGUCUCUCCUCUAGAGAACCAGGCCUGUCUGUCCGUCUCUCCUCUAGAGAACCAGGUCUGUCUGUCCGUCUGUCUGUCCGUCUCUCCUCUAGAGAACCAGGUCUGUCUGUCCGUCUGUCUGUCCGUCUCUCCUCUAGAGAACCAGGUCUGUCUGUCUCUCCUCUAGAGAACCAGGCCUGUCUGUCCGUCUCUCCUCUAGAGAACCAGGUCUGUCUGUCUGUCUGUCCGUCUCUCCUCUAGAGAACCAGGUCUGUCUGUCUGUCUGUCCGUC